RNAcentral lists this ribosomal RNA (465 nucleotides) under uncultured bacterium. Its description in RNAcentral is "partial 16S ribosomal RNA". It matches the Rfam family "Bacterial small subunit ribosomal RNA", at positions 338 to 795 of the family's 1533-position model. The record is from RNAcentral.
CCUACGGUGGGCAGCAGUAGGGAAUCUUCCACAAUGGACGAAAGUCUGAUGGAGCAACGCCGCGUGAGUGAAGAAGGGUUUCGGCUCGUACAGCUCUGUUGGUAGUGAAGAAAGAUAGAGGUAGUAACUGGUCUUUAUUUGACGGUACUUACUUAGAAAGUCACGGCUAACUACGUGGCAGCAGCCGCGGUAAUACGUAGGUGGCAAGCGUUGUCCGGAUUUAUUGGGCGUAAAGCGAGUGCAGGCGGUUCAAUAAGUCUGAUGUGAAAGCCUUCGGCUCAACCGGAGAAUGGCAUCGGAAACUGUUGAACUAGAGUGCAGGAGAGGAGAGUGGAACUCCAUGUGUAGCGGUGGAAUGCGUAGAUAUAUGGAAGAACACCAGUGGCGAAGGCGGCUCUCUGGUCUGCUACUGACGCUGAGGCUCGAAAGCAUGGGGAGCAAACAGGAUUAGAUACCCCUGUAGUC